Molecule: small nuclear RNA, 141 nt
Organism: Tachyglossus aculeatus (Australian echidna)
Lineage: Eukaryota; Metazoa; Chordata; Mammalia; Monotremata; Tachyglossidae
Product: U4 spliceosomal RNA
Exons: 1
Source: RefSeq, a predicted model, not a curated record
GGCUUUGUGCAGUGGCAGUCUCGUAGCCUGUGAGGAUGAUCCGAGGCGUGAUUAUUGCUGGUUGAAAACUUUUCCCAAUACCCUGCUGGGACGUCUUGUGACACUGAUGCUACUGGCAAUUUUUGACUAUUUCUCAGGAGG